Molecule: transfer RNA, 76 nt
Filed under: Spirochaetaceae bacterium
Lineage: Bacteria; Pseudomonadati; Spirochaetota; Spirochaetia; Spirochaetales; Spirochaetaceae
Description: tRNA-Asn
Rfam family: tRNA
About the family: Transfer RNA (tRNA) molecules are approximately 80 nucleotides in length. Their secondary structure includes four short double-helical elements and three loops (D, anti-codon, and T loops). Further hydrogen bonds mediate the characteristic L-shaped molecular structure. tRNAs have two regions of fundamental functional importance: the anti-codon, which is responsible for specific mRNA codon recognition, and the 3' end, to which the tRNAs corresponding amino acid is attached (by aminoacyl-tRNA synthetases). tRNAs cope with the degeneracy of the genetic code in two manners: having more than one tRNA (with a specific anti-codon) for a particular amino acid; and 'wobble' base-pairing, i.e. permitting non-standard base-pairing at the 3rd anti-codon position.
Source: RNAcentral
UCCCCUGUAGCUCAGUUGGUAGAGCGGGUGGCUGUUAACCACUAGGUCGUUAGUUCGAGUCUAACCGGGGGAGCUA